Cyprinus carpio (common carp) is the source of this 1219-nucleotide long non-coding RNA. The record is from Ensembl. Lineage: Eukaryota; Metazoa; Chordata; Actinopteri; Cypriniformes; Cyprinidae.
AUGAUCUUAGAGCACAAACAGUCUGAAUACUGAUCAGCCGACACACACACACACACACACAACAGUGCUGCGCUGAAUUAGAAACGUUUCCUGCUCAAACAGAAAGAUUCAAUUAUCUUAUUAGUUUUCAUUAAUACAAACCUUGACUUCUAAUUGUGUGUGUGUUUGUGUGGGGGGUUGAGAGAGAAACAUUUAGUCACAUCUUCAUUAGCACACUACAGUCACUCAUCAAAAACAAACAACUCACAAGCUCAAAGCACUGAAGUCUUGGAAAACUUACAAUGCACUUCCCAUCCCCUGAACUCCUGAAAAAACUUGGCUGACAACACUCCCGACAUCAGUUCCGGGUCUGUUAAACUAACUGCUUUCAAAUGAGCUAUUAUAGUGAGCCAAGAAAGAGCUCAAAUAGUUUUUUUUUAUUAUUAUUUUUUUGUACGGUAAUCUGUUUUGGGUGAUUUGAUCACAAGUUGAUUAGAUCUGAUAUGGGUGCAAAUGGGGUCCACUGUGUCUUGCGAUUGAUCACUCAAACCACAUUUGAGGUUCUCAGGAUGUUUGAUCAUGUUUCUUUAUUCACUGCAGAAUAAGCCUUGUAAGCCCAGUCCUGACGAAGCUCUGUGCAGCCUGAAGCUGGAACUCCGGAUGCGAUUCAGGAAAUCAAGGCUACCGGAUCUUCACUGAUGCUUCAGGAAAUUUGGAGUUCAACGUGGGAUUCACAAAACACUUGUUCUUGAAAGAUGGCUUAGUACCCAGUUUAUUUGGACCAGAUUGCUGCACUGAAUCACAACCUGUAAGUGUGAUAAAUAAUAGAUCUUUGUAUUUUAUAUUGAGCAUUCAGAAUACAGAACUAUGGCAAUGGGCGUAUCGUUUCCGAAACACCCUGUAAACGGUAGACCAAUCACAACAGACUGGGUCAUCUGACCAAUCAGAGCAGAGUAGGCUCAUGGAAAGGAGGGGGUUAGAGAGACUGAAUCUUAGAACUGCUUUGAACAAAUAAUUUGAGAAUUACUGGAAAAUGAAGUGAUAUUAAAUGCAUAAUUUGAGAAACCAGAAUUGUUUUUUUGAACUUGCAUGCAUGUAAACCUAUUGUAGAAGACUCCUAAAACAAUAUUAGGAACCUUAAAAUGGCAUAAUAGGGGCACUUUAAAUUGUAAUAAUACUAAUAACAAUAUUACUGUUUUGACUGUAUUUUUUGAUCAAAUAAAUGCUCUCUUUGUGAGCA